UAUGAAGGUCAGGCUGAAGACUUACCCGAUUAGCUGAGAGGUGGUGCAUGGCCGUCGUCAGUUCGUACUGUGAAGCAUCCUGUUAAGUCAGGCAACGAGCGAGACCCACGUCCACAGUUGCCAGCAUACCCUCCGGGGUGAUGGGUACACUGUGGAGACCGCCGCUGCUAAAGCGGAGGAAGGAGUGGGCAACGGUAGGUCAGUAUGCCCCGAAUCUCCCGGGCUACACGCGGGCUACAAUGGUUGGUACAAUGGGCAUCUACCCCGAAAGGGGAAGGAAAUCUCUUAAAGCCAAUCGUAGUUCGGAUUGAGGGCUGCAACUCGCCCUCAUGAAGCUGGAAUCCGUAGUAAUCGCGUUUCAACAGAACGCGGUGAAUACGCCCCUGCUCCUU
RNAcentral lists this ribosomal RNA (392 nucleotides) under uncultured Methanosaeta sp. RNAcentral describes it as "bacterial SSU rRNA". It matches the Rfam family "Archaeal small subunit ribosomal RNA", at positions 946 to 1338 of the family's 1478-position model. Lineage: Archaea; Methanobacteriati; Methanobacteriota; Methanomicrobia; Methanotrichales; Methanotrichaceae. The record is from RNAcentral.